UGGGGAAUAUUGGACAAUGGGGGCAACCCUGAUCCAGCAAUGCCGCGUGUGUGAAGAAGGCCUUCGGGUUGUAAAGCACUUUCGGUGGGGACAAACAAGGUGGAGCUAACAUCUCCGCCUCUGAUGGUACCCAAAGAAGAAGCACCGGCUAACUCUGUGCCAGCAGCCGCGGUAAUACAGAGGGUGCAAGCGUUAAUCGGAAUUACUGGGCGUAAAGCGUGCGUAGGUGGUUUGCUAAGUCAGGUGUGAAAUCCCCGGGCUCAACCUGGGAACUGCAUUUGAUACUGGCGAACUAGAGUGUGGUAGAGGGUGGUGGAAUUCCCGGUGUAGCGGUGAAAUGCGUAGAUAUCGGGAGGAACAUCAGUGGCGAAGGCGGCCACCUGGACCAACACUGACACUGAGGCACGAAAGCGUGGGUAGCAAA
This 424-nucleotide ribosomal RNA is filed under the name uncultured bacterium. RNAcentral describes it as "bacterial SSU rRNA". It matches the Rfam family "Bacterial small subunit ribosomal RNA", at positions 355 to 772 of the family's 1533-position model. The record is from RNAcentral.